CCCUUAGAUGUCCUGGGCUGCACGCGCGCUACACUGAUGUGUCCAGUAAGCACCUAACCUCUUCCGAAAGGAACGGGUAACCUUUGCAAAGCACAUCGUGAUGGGGAUAGAUUAUUGCAAUUAUUAGUCUUGAACGAGGAAUACCUAGUAAGCACAAGUCAUCAGCUUGUGUUGAUUACGUCCCUGCCCUUUGUACACACCGCCCGUCGCUCCUACCGAUUGAAUGUUCCGGUGAGCUCUUCGGACUGCGCGGUCUGCAGUUUCUGCGUUCCGUGCGGAAAGUUGCGCAAACCUUAACAUUUAGAGGAAGGAGAAGUCGUAACA
This 324-nucleotide ribosomal RNA is filed under the name uncultured eukaryote. RNAcentral describes it as "partial 18S ribosomal RNA". It matches the Rfam family "Eukaryotic small subunit ribosomal RNA", at positions 1470 to 1796 of the family's 1831-position model. The record is from RNAcentral.